This 497-nucleotide ribosomal RNA is filed under the name uncultured bacterium. RNAcentral's name for it is "partial 16S ribosomal RNA". It matches the Rfam family "Bacterial small subunit ribosomal RNA", at positions 28 to 507 of the family's 1533-position model. The record is from RNAcentral.
GACGAACGCUGGCGGCGUGCCUAAUACAUGCAAGUUGAGCGCUGAAGGUUGGUACUUGUACCGACUGGAUGAGCAGCGAACGGGUGAGUAACGCGUGGGGAAUCUGCCUUUGAGCGGGGGACAACAUUUGGAAACGAAUGCUAAUACCGCAUAAAAACUUUAAACACAAGUUUUAAGUUUGAAAGAUGCAAUUGCAUCACUUAAAGAUGAUCCCGCGUUGUAUUAGCUAGUUGGUGAGGUAAAGGCUCACCAAGGCGAUGAUACAUAGCCGACCUGAGAGGGUGAUCGGCCACAUUGGGACUGAGACACGGCCCAAACUCCUACGGGAGGCAGCAGUAGGGAAUCUUCGGCAAUGGACGAAAGUCUGACCGAGCAACGCCGCGUGAGUGAAGAAGGUUUUCGGAUCGUAAAACUCUGUUGGUAGAGAAGAACGUUGGUGAGAGUGGAAAGCUCAUCAAGUGACGGUAACUACCCAGAAAGGGACGGCUAACUACGUG